Non-coding RNA from Gasterosteus aculeatus aculeatus (three-spined stickleback), 1020 nucleotides. Lineage: Eukaryota; Metazoa; Chordata; Actinopteri; Perciformes; Gasterosteidae. The record is from RefSeq and is a predicted model, not a curated record.
UGGGGGGGGGUGAGGACUCCUGAAGAUGGCAGCUGCCAUCCACAGACUCCUACGGAGCUGCUGGUCCUGAAAGGACGAGAGAGGCCGGCCCAUCAGGACAAUUAGCAGAUGUCCCCGGUAGGGUUUGACCUUCUCCGACCUGGAGCUUUGUGUCCGCGGCACAAGAGGGUGUGUGUGUGUGUGUGUGUGUGUGUGUGUGUGUGUGUGUGUGUACAAGAAGGAUCUUGUAACAGAAGUCGACGAGAGGACCAGUGAACUGCGGCCUGGUGUCAGGAUGCAGCGUGAUGAGGACUCUCAUGAGGAGGGAAGACAGCGGGAGGUUUUUCUCACAUUCUUUACUGGAUCUGGACGUAAUGUGUGUCCUCCAUCAGGAGGAAAGAGGAGGAGGAGACGCCACCAUCACCCCCUCUAACGACGCCCUAAAGGCCUUUAUGGCAGCACCCGGGGGUGCCCUCAGCAUUCCACGGCUCUUUGUGGGACGUCUUCUGGCACACUCUGACUUUUGUGCUUUUCGUCUCUUUUCUGGUUUCCUGACCCCCACAAAAAAGAAGACUUUUAAACGAUGUUUGACUUUCAGAGCGUGCCGGGUGGUCUCACAACACAAAGCCCCUCUUUAUGUUGUACAUCGCUCUUUACUUUGUCAACAGCUCAUGGAAAUGUGGAGGUCGAAGGAGACAAUCAAACAUCUGAUGAGCAGGAGCGUUGAUACGUGUAUUACUUAAACAUUCAUACACAUCUAGUAACGCUGGAGCUGAUUGGCUGUUGAGAAUCAAGUGGGAAUGCAAAAUGUUAAGCACUUAUCAAGAGGAAAUUCAUUACUUGAAUUCAUGACAAAUAUUCUAUUCUGUUCCUACGUGAGAGGAUUUUCUUCAAGUUUCUGAUUCAGAGCUGAAUAAAUGUUUGUAAAAGCAUCACGUCUGUCCUUAUUAUAAAGUCCUUAUAAAUAUACAUAUAUUAAGCCGAUUUUUAUUCUAUCCAACAGCUUGAUUUGUUUGCUGAAUAUUAAAAUCUAAAUCUUCA